UCUAAUAUGGCAGAACAGUGCAUUGGACUUAAACCCCAAAUACAAAGUUUACACUUUUAUUAGAA
This 65-nucleotide transfer RNA is filed under the name Romualdius bifoveolatus. RNAcentral describes it as "tRNA-Leu". It matches the Rfam family "tRNA". Rfam says of the family: Transfer RNA (tRNA) molecules are approximately 80 nucleotides in length. Their secondary structure includes four short double-helical elements and three loops (D, anti-codon, and T loops). Lineage: Eukaryota; Metazoa; Arthropoda; Insecta; Coleoptera; Curculionidae. The record is from RNAcentral.